RNAcentral lists this ribosomal RNA (332 nucleotides) under uncultured eukaryote. RNAcentral's name for it is "partial 18S ribosomal RNA". It matches the Rfam family "Eukaryotic small subunit ribosomal RNA", at positions 1470 to 1796 of the family's 1831-position model. The record is from RNAcentral.
CCCUUAGAUGUUCUGGGCCGCACGCGUGCUACACUGGUGAAUACAGCGAGCCUUAACCUUAACCGAAAUGGUUUGGGUAAUCUUGUGAAAGUUCAUCGUGACAGGGAUUGAUCAUUGCAAUUAUUGAUCAUGAACGAGGAAUUCCUAGUAAAGGCGAGUCAUCAUCUCGCUUUGAUUACGUCCCUGCCCUUUGUACACACCGCCCGUCGCUACUACCGAUUGAAUGGUUUAGUGAGAUCUCCGGAUUGGCUUCCUUGGUACCUUCGCGGGUCCAACGUGAAGCCGAGAAGCUGCUCAAACUUGAUCAUUUAGAGGAAGUAAAAGUCGUAACA